GCGGACGUGGCGGAAUUUGGUAUACGCGUACGCUUGAGGUGCGUAUCCCGCAAGGGUUGGAGGUUCGAGUCCUCUCGUCCGCACCC
Molecule: transfer RNA, 86 nt
Filed under: Candidatus Curtissbacteria bacterium RIFCSPHIGHO2_01_FULL_34_40
Lineage: Bacteria; Candidatus Curtissiibacteriota
Also listed under: 9 other names
Description: tRNA-Leu
Rfam family: tRNA
About the family: Transfer RNA (tRNA) molecules are approximately 80 nucleotides in length. Their secondary structure includes four short double-helical elements and three loops (D, anti-codon, and T loops).
Source: RNAcentral